Molecule: transfer RNA, 88 nt
Filed under: Blumeria hordei DH14
Lineage: Eukaryota; Fungi; Ascomycota; Leotiomycetes; Helotiales; Erysiphaceae
Also listed under: 1 other name
Description: tRNA-Ser for anticodon GCU
Rfam family: tRNA
About the family: Transfer RNA (tRNA) molecules are approximately 80 nucleotides in length.
Source: Rfam by way of RNAcentral
GGCACUUUGGCGGAGUGGUUAACGCGAUGCCCUGCUAAUAAGUAAGGCAUUUCCUUCGGGAGCGUGUGUUCGAAUCACACAGGUGUCG